UGUAUGUUGAAGCUUUGUGAGUGGAGCAUGUAGUGUUCCCUUAAUUUCCCGAGUGAGGAAAACUUCUCGGUUGGAGACUUGAAAAAUCCAAGUCACUGAGUGGUUGUGAGACUGCCGAGUAUUAAGGUGCAGUAGCAUAUGGUGGGAGUCCCCCAAGUCUUCAGGCGAAGAGAGUUGCCGAAUGAGGUGUCUCGCUUGUUACUAAUUUGUCAAAGUAACGAAUCCUUGUUUCGAUGUCACACAUUCGCAUAUGCCUUAUCUAAAAAUAUUUCCAACUUUUGUGUGUUUGAUGCUGCAUGCUAUUGACUAGACAAGAUCAAGUGCAAUUAGUAGCUUUUCUCUCUUUUUCAUCUUUUCUUUGGUGGAAUUGCUUUUCGUUUCCACUAAUCAGCCUGAGUGGAUGCAA
RNAcentral lists this small RNA (406 nucleotides) under Malus domestica (apple). Its description in RNAcentral is "sRNA MD07G0212400". Lineage: Eukaryota; Viridiplantae; Streptophyta; Magnoliopsida; Rosales; Rosaceae. The record is from RNAcentral.